AUGAUAAGCAAUCUAACCCAUCCAUCCAGGGCCUUGUGGUGCCACCCGUUCCUCCAGGGGGUCCAGGAGGUGAUGAAGAUGAAGAUACCUACGAGGAGGCAGAACCUUACUUGGCCAACACAACCACAUCUAACACUGAGAACGCAGAGUCAGACAGUAGUCACUAUGAGUCAUACGGGGAGGAAGAUGAUGAUGAUGAGCCUGUGAAGGACCGAGCUCACUACAUCCACUGGAGCGCCUCGCAGCCCUGCCUACGCCCCGUCCCAGAGUCCCGCCUCUGUGGUUACCUGUGGAAGAGGAAAUGGCUCGGACAGUGGACCAAACAGCUGUUCAUCAUCCGGAGCGACGUGCUGCUGUGUUAUAAGUGUGCCCAGGACCUGCUGCCUCAGCUGGAGUUGAGUCUGCGUGGCUGUCAGCUGGUCUACAAGUCGAAGAGCAGCGGGAAGAUCCAGCACCAGCUCAAGCUGCUGCUGCUGGGCUCAGAGAGCCUGGUGCUGGGCUACAGCAGCUUCCAGCAGGCCGCCGAGUGGAG
Notothenia coriiceps (black rockcod) is the source of this 532-nucleotide long non-coding RNA. RefSeq lists it as uncharacterized. The record is from RefSeq and is a predicted model, not a curated record. The transcript is spliced from 3 exons. Lineage: Eukaryota; Metazoa; Chordata; Actinopteri; Perciformes; Nototheniidae.